RNAcentral lists this ribosomal RNA (357 nucleotides) under Dahlica triquetrella. RNAcentral describes it as "partial 12S ribosomal RNA". Lineage: Eukaryota; Metazoa; Arthropoda; Insecta; Lepidoptera; Psychidae. The record is from RNAcentral.
AAUUUUUAAUCAUUUUAUUAAAAUUAAUAAAAUUACAUUUAAAUCCUUUUUCAAUUAAAUAAUUUCAAUUUUAAUAUUCAUUUAAAUAAAUUUAUUGUAAUUCAUUUAUUCUAAAUUAUUAAUUACAUCUUGAUUUGAUUUAAUUUUAUUUUUAAAAUUUUAAAUAUUAUAAAUUUAUAAAAAAUAUUUUUUUAACAAUGAUAUAUAAAUUUUUAAAUUAAGUAAAUUAAUUCGUGGAUUAUCAAUUAUUAAACAAAUUCCUCUAAAUAAAAUAAAAUACUGCCAAAUUAUUUAAGUUUCAUAUAAUAAUAUAAAUUACUAUUUUAGUAUUAAAUUAUUUAAUUUUAUAAUAGGGUA